Molecule: non-coding RNA, 1781 nt
Organism: Phasianus colchicus (ring-necked pheasant)
Lineage: Eukaryota; Metazoa; Chordata; Aves; Galliformes; Phasianidae
Source: RefSeq, a predicted model, not a curated record
UCUUCUCUGUGUGUUUAAUCAGCAGAACAAUUGAAUGAGAAAGGAAUAUAGUUCUGCAAUGACACAAUUAAUGGCCUUCUAGAGAGCAGUAUUAUCCUCAUUGUGAGCCUCUAUCACUGGGACCUACCACAGGCCAGAAAAAUUGGUGAAAUGUCUCAAGGUAAAUGUUUCUGAUAGGACAUGUUCCUACAUCUAAGGACUACAUCACAUUAGAAAAAUGUUUAAAGACGCCUGCAUGUUUUUAAGUGUGCUAAUAAUCAUUUUCUGUUCAUUUGCAUUUAAAAUACAUUGCUGUAUUACUUACAUUUCAGCAGCUCCAAAGAUAAGAAGUCUUUGUUAGUAAGAAAAUGAACUUCAGGCAGUUGCUGAAAAAGGUUACAAAACAGGUGAACAUGCACCAGGACUGCAGCUCGGUGGAAGUGGAGCAUACAACGCAGCACACAUAUAAUUAAAGUAAAAUUUAAAUUGAAUUUUAAGUUGUGUGAAGUGAGAAUUUUUAGCACACUGAUUAAGCUUUUCGUCCUGCUCUUUAAACAGAAAUACAGCUUUGUAACCAUGCCAGUUCCAAAUGGCACAUCAAAUUUAUUUAGUAGCUGAGGCAACCUGAUUUCAGACCACUAAUGCAUAUUCAGGGAUCACACGCAAUGAAAGAUGCUUGACGUAGCCCUUUGUUGUGACAACUUAAUACUUCUUGCAGUUUAAAUGCCCCCUUGAAAAACACUGCAAAACUGGUUGAGUAAGAAAAUGUCCAGGUUAGCCUAGAAACAUGGAAUAAAAUCCUGGUCUGGUGAAAUGAACUCAGUUUUUCAGAGUGACUGCAGUGACUCAUAGAAAGAAACACUCACUAACUUCAAUAAAUUAGGCAAAGAUAUCCAAGAUAAGAGAUGCUGGACAGGACACUAUACUGAAUGCUGUGUGUAACCUCUAUGAGCACCUCAAGGAAUUUAAGGAAGGCAUAUUGCAUAAAUGUUUGUGGUUUUUAUAAGAAAUGAAAGCUUCCAUGAUAUACUUAGAAGAAAUGAUGCAAUAUUUUCAGAUACACCUUAAUCCAGAAGCUCCUCUCCACUAUCUUCCUGCAUUGCCUACAAUGUAACAGUUACAGUGUGCAUAUGCUCUUAUGUAUUCUUACAGACUCACGCAAAUGUAUGGCACUCUUACAACACCUGGCACAGUGAGCAGCAUGGUAAUAAGUAUUCAUUCUGUAAUUAUGCUUCUACUUCUAUCAAGGGCUUAGCAAUUAUGCAUAAACUGCAGAAUUAUCACUUUGUUUUUAAGGUAUGGUUGGAAUUUCCUUAAUGAGUGGCUGGGGGGAACCUGUUGAUCCACACAGCCAAGCAGACAUAGAUGCUGCUGAGAUAUACUCAUCAUGUAUUGUCCUACUCCUGUUCUUCCUCCAAAAUCACAGAUAAAAUUGGCACAACUGAGCACUCUUUUUGUGUAAGAAAAACAGUACAGUACUUCAGCUGCAUUAUGAAACACUUACCACAAGUGCCUCCUUUUGCACUGUUGUAAAGGUGAAUAAAUGUUAUUUGCUCUGUCCAUGCAGCUCUGUCCAGACCUGCUUCUAAUUUUUUUAAACUCAAUUCUCAAAAUAUAAUUUAGAAAUUUUAAUAAAACCUGAAAUAUAUUUUCUUUCUGCAUUAUUUUCUUUAAGUUUUAAGCAGCAAAUUCUGUUUCUUGUUAUUUUGGUAAUGAUUAUAUGGAAUAGCUAGAUACGAUGAAAGUGAUUCUAACCUUGCCAGCACACAUUUCAAGUGAUUAAAAUCUGCAAAUUCUGUUUU